GAUGAACGCUGGCGGCGUGCCUAAUACAUGCAAGUCGAGCGAACGGACGAGAAGCUUGCUUCUCUGAUGUUAGCGGCGGACGGGUGAGUAACACGUGGAUAACCUACCUAUAAGACUGGGAUAAUUUCGGGAAACCGGAGCUAAUACCGGAUAAUAUUUUGAACCGCAUGGUUCAAAAGUGAAAGACGGUCUUGCUGUCACUUAUAGAUGGAUCCGCGCUGCAUUAGCUAGUUGGUAAGGUAACGGCUUACCAAGGCAACGAUGCAUAGCCGACCUGAGAGGGUGAUCGGACACACGGGAACUGAGAAACGGUCCAGACUCCGACGGGAGGCAGCAGUAGGGAAUCUUCCGCAAUGGGCGAAAGCCUGACGGAGCAACGCCGCGGGAGUGAUGAAGGUCUUAGGAUCGUAAAACUCUGUUAUUAGGGAAGAACAUAUGUGUAAGUAACUGUGCACAUCUUGACGGUACCUAAUCAGAAAGCCACGGCUAACUACGUG
This 497-nucleotide ribosomal RNA is filed under the name uncultured bacterium. RNAcentral's name for it is "partial 16S ribosomal RNA". It matches the Rfam family "Bacterial small subunit ribosomal RNA", at positions 28 to 507 of the family's 1533-position model. The record is from RNAcentral.